GAGGAAGAUGAGAUAAUCUCAUUAACAAGGACUUAUGUUUUAGUAAACGAUCAGCAGACUUUAACAACGCCAAUUACAACGUCACGGGUCACUAUCACAAGUACAAGUAUUAAAGCCAGCAUAAUAAACGCCAUUAAUGAAAGUAGUCCAAAGGGUCUGACAAGCACCGGCUUGAUAGUUAUUGUUGUUGUUCUCAGUAGCUUGGGAGGUUUACUAUCGAUUAUCAUCAUCGUCGCUUUCGUCUGUGUAAAAUUGAAAAGCUAAAGGAAAUCCACAUCAGGUUAGUAGGAAAUCCUUGGUGUUGUAGAGUCUACCGGGUACGUAAUGUGUCAAAAUGUCUAUUGAGA
Long non-coding RNA from Lingula anatina, 347 nucleotides. The record is from RefSeq and is a predicted model, not a curated record. Lineage: Eukaryota; Metazoa; Brachiopoda; Lingulata; Lingulida; Lingulidae.